RNAcentral lists this ribosomal RNA (608 nucleotides) under Winogradskyella sp. RNAcentral describes it as "bacterial SSU rRNA". It matches the Rfam family "Bacterial small subunit ribosomal RNA", at positions 68 to 671 of the family's 1533-position model. The record is from RNAcentral. Lineage: Bacteria; Pseudomonadati; Bacteroidota; Flavobacteriia; Flavobacteriales; Flavobacteriaceae.
GGUAACAUUGAUGCUUGCAUCAGAUGACGAGUGGCGCACGGGUGAGUAACGCGUAUACAAUCUACCUUUUACAGGGGGAUAGCCUUUAGAAAUGAAGAUUAAUAUCCCAUAGUAAGUAGUUUUGGCAUCAAGACAACUUUAAAGUUUCGGCGGUAAAAGAUGAGUAUGCGUUCUAUUAGUUAGUUGGUAAGGUAACGGCUUACCAAGACCACGAUAGAUAGGGGCCCUGAGAGGGGGAUCCCCCACACUGGUACUGAGACACGGACCAGACUCCUACGGGAGGCAGCAGUGAGGAAUAUUGGACAAUGGGCGCGAGCCUGAUCCAGCCAUGCCGCGUGCAGGAAGACUGCCCUAUGGGUUGUAAACUGCUUUUAUACAGGAAGAAACCUUUUCACGUGUGAAAAGCUGACGGUACUGUAAGAAUAAGGAUCGGCUAACUCCGUGCCAGCAGCCGCGGUAAUACGGAGGAUCCAAGCGUUAUCCGGAAUCAUUGGGUUUAAAGGGUCCGUAGGUGGAUAAUUAAGUCAGGGGUGAAAGUUUGCAGCUCAACUGUAAAAUUGCCUUUGAUACUGGUUAUCUUGAAUUAUUGUGAAGUGGUUAGAAUAUGU